UACGAAGGUCCCAAGCGUUGUUCGGAAUCACUGGGCGUAAAGGGUGCGUAGGCGGCGACGUAAGUCAGAUGUGAAAUUUUUGGGCUCAACCCAGGGACUGCAUCCGAUACUGCGUUGCUAGAGGAGCGGAGAGGAGUCUGGAAUUCACGGUGUAGCAGUGAAAUGCGUAGAGAUCGUGAGGAACACUAGUGGCGAAGGCGAGACUCUGGACGCUAACUGACGCUGAGGCACGAAGGCCAGGGGAGCAAAAGGG
Molecule: ribosomal RNA, 253 nt
Filed under: uncultured bacterium
Lineage: Bacteria
Description: partial 16S ribosomal RNA
Rfam family: Bacterial small subunit ribosomal RNA
Source: RNAcentral